This 732-nucleotide ribosomal RNA is filed under the name Ditylenchus valveus. RNAcentral describes it as "partial large subunit ribosomal RNA". It matches the Rfam family "Eukaryotic large subunit ribosomal RNA", at positions 335 to 903 of the family's 3401-position model. Lineage: Eukaryota; Metazoa; Nematoda; Chromadorea; Rhabditida; Anguinidae. The record is from RNAcentral.
CAGCAAGAUACAAGUACCGUGAGGGAAAGUUGCAAAGCACUUUGAAGAGAGAGUUAAAGAGGACGUGAAACCGAUAAGAUGGAAACGGAUAGAGCUGACGUAUCUAACUUGUAUUCAGCUGCUCAGUGGUGGAGUGCUGGCUGCCUAAUCCUGCUAUUGGUUGGGUGGUAGGCUUCUUCUGCUAUUGAGUAGUGCAUUUGCAAGUUGAGUGCGCCGAGGCUUACGCCCUAGCGGUUGGAUCUCUGCUUUGUGGUCUCUUCCUCGGAAGAGUAACUCUGGUAGGGGGAAGACUGUUUGGGGUGUAUGAUGCUAUUUUGUACGGCUUACGAAUCGGCUGGCUGUCAGUCUUCUCGGGAGUUAUUGUCGCAUGCGACUUUGCUUCCUUGGGGGCUGAUUGUUGGUGCAGAUUCUCGUGCAUAUUCUCGGUGUAAAAGUCGGUCAUCUAUCCGACCCGUCUUGAAACACGGACCAAGGAGUUUAGCGAAUAUGCGAGUCAUUGAGUGUUUAAAACUCAAAGGCGUAAUGAAAGUAAAGGCAUCCUUACGGAGCUGAUAUGCGAUCAUUGGUAUUUCGGUAUUGAUGCGCAGCAUAGCCCCAUCCUAAUUGCUUGCAAUGGGGUGGAGGUAGAGCAUAUUUGCUGAGACCCGAAAGAUGGUGAACUAUGCCUGGGCAGGAUGAAGCCAGAGGAAACUCUGGUGGAAGUCCGAAGCGGUUCUGACGUGCAAAUCGAUC